Molecule: ribosomal RNA, 448 nt
Filed under: uncultured bacterium
Lineage: Bacteria
Description: partial 16S ribosomal RNA
Rfam family: Bacterial small subunit ribosomal RNA
Source: RNAcentral
CGCCAGACUCCUACGGGAGGCAGUAGUGGGGAAUAUUGCACAAUGGGGGAAACCCUGAUGCAGCGACGCCGCGUGAGUGAAGAAGUAUUUCGGUAUGUAAAGCUCUAUCAGCAGGAAAGAAAAUGACGGUACCUGACUAAGAAGCCCCGGCUAACUACGUGCCAGCAGCCGCGGUAAUACGUAGGGGGCAAGCGUUAUCCGGAUUUACUGGGUGUAAAGGGAGCGUAGACGGUGAAGCAAGUCUGAAGUGAAAGGCGGGGGCUCGACCCCCGGACUGCUUUGGAAACUGUUUGACUGGAGUGCAGGAGAGGUAAGUGGAAUUCCUAGUGUAGCGGUGAAAUGCGUAGAUAUUAGGAGGAACACCAGUGGCGAAGGCGGUCAACUGGACAGCAACUGACGCUGAGGCGCGAAAGCGUGGGGAGCAAACAGGAUUAGAUACCCCGGUAUU